This 399-nucleotide transfer-messenger RNA is filed under the name Pseudobacter ginsenosidimutans. RNAcentral describes it as "Standard tmRNA". It matches the Rfam family "transfer-messenger RNA". From Rfam's summary of the family: Bacterial tmRNA, also known as 10Sa RNA or SsrA, is named for its dual tRNA and mRNA-like properties. Its role is to liberate the mRNA from a stalled ribosome. The record is from Rfam by way of RNAcentral. Lineage: Bacteria; Pseudomonadati; Bacteroidota; Chitinophagia; Chitinophagales; Chitinophagaceae.
GGGGCUGUACUGGUUUCGACAGCGUAGAUCUUUGAAAGUGUAAGCAUGUCGUGCGUUGGAUAAUUAGCACGUAAAUCUGAAUAUUCAAACUUUUAUAUGGCAAUACUCAGUAUGCCAUGGCCGCUUAAUCAGUGAUUAAGUAGUCAUUAGGGCCGCGUCCGCAAGGGGUUCUUCGGAACCGAGCAGGUUGACCUGUUACCAUGCUCCGCCGCCGACUAAUAAACCAAAACAGGUUGCUGCUGCAGGGUGUUGUGACUGCAGCUUAAGAUGAUCGCAACUAAGGAGCAGAUUGGUUUGCCGGUUCCCUGCCUGUUCCCGACAAUUAAUAAUCGGAUAAGCAUGUAGAAAGCUUUUGGAGGAUAUGUUUGGACGCGGGUUCGAGUCCCGCCAGCUCCACAA